This 253-nucleotide ribosomal RNA is filed under the name uncultured bacterium. RNAcentral's name for it is "partial 16S ribosomal RNA". It matches the Rfam family "Bacterial small subunit ribosomal RNA", at positions 524 to 776 of the family's 1533-position model. The record is from RNAcentral.
UACGUAGGUGGCAAGCGUUAUCCGGAAUUAUUGGGCGUAAAGAGCUCGUAGGCGGCUUGUUGCGUCGACCGUGAAAACCCGUGGCUCAACUGCGGGCUUGCGGUCGAUACGGGCGGGCUAGAGUUCGGUAGGGGAGACUGGAAUUCCUGGUGUAGCGGUGAAAUGCGCAGAUAUCAGGAGGAACACCGGUGGCGAAGGCGGGUCUCUGGGCCGAUACUGACGCUGAGGAGCGAAAGCGUGGGGAGCGAACAGG